CCUACGGGGGGCUGCAGUCGAGAAUCUUUGGCAAUGGGCGCAAGCCUGACCGAGCGACGCCGCGUGCGGGAUGAAGGCCCUUGGGUUGUAAACCGCUGUCAGAGGGGAUGAAAUGCGGGUGGGUUCUCCCAUCCGUUUGACAUAGCCUCAGAGGAAGCACGGGCUAAGUUCGUGCCAGCAGCCGCGGUAAUACGAACUGUGCAAACGUUAUUCGGAAUCACUGGGCUAAAAGGGUGCGUAGGCGGCCUGUGAAAGCCUCCGGCUUAACCGGAGAAUGGCGCUCUAAACUGUCUGGCUGGAGUGAGAUAGGGGUGUGCGGAACUUCCGGUGGAGCGGUGAAAUGUGUUGAUAUCGGAAGGAACGCCGGUGGCGAAAGCGGCACACUGGAUCUCAACUGACGCUGAGGCACGAAAGCCAGGGGAGCAAACGGGAUUAGAUACCCCUGUAGUC
RNAcentral lists this ribosomal RNA (450 nucleotides) under uncultured bacterium. RNAcentral's name for it is "partial 16S ribosomal RNA". It matches the Rfam family "Bacterial small subunit ribosomal RNA", at positions 338 to 795 of the family's 1533-position model. The record is from RNAcentral.